RNAcentral lists this ribosomal RNA (429 nucleotides) under Bacteroidota bacterium. RNAcentral's name for it is "Bacteroidetes bacterium partial 16S ribosomal RNA". It matches the Rfam family "Bacterial small subunit ribosomal RNA", at positions 355 to 776 of the family's 1533-position model. The record is from RNAcentral. Lineage: Bacteria; Pseudomonadati; Bacteroidota.
UAGGGAAUCUUCCGCAAUGGACGCAAGUCUGACGGAGCAACGCCGCGUGAGUGAAGAAGGAUUUCGGUUCGUAAAACUCUGUUGUUAGAGAAGAACAGCGCAUAGAGUAACUGUUAUGCGUGUGACGGUAUCUAACCAGAAAGCCACGGCUAACUACGUGCCAGCAGCCGCGGUAAUACGUAGGUGGCAAGCGUUGUCCGGAUUUAUUGGGCGUAAAGCGAGCGCAGGCGGUCAAUUAAGUCUGAUGUGAAAGCCCCCGGCUCAACCGGGGAGGGUCAUUGGAAACUGGUUGACUUGAGUGCAGAAGAGGAGAGUGGAAUUCCAUGUGUAGCGGUGAAAUGCGUAGAUAUAUGGAGGAACACCAGUGGCGAAGGCGACUCGCUGGACUGUAACUGACGCUGAGGCUCGAAAGCGUGGGUAGCAAACAGG